GUAGGGGGCUAGCGUUGUCCGGAAUCAUUGGGCGUAAAGCGCGUGUAGGCGGCCCGGUAAGUCCGCUGUGAAAGUCGGGGGCUCAACCCUCGAAAGCCGGUGGAUACUGUUGGGCUUGAGUACGGAAGAGGCGAGUGGAAUUCCUGGUGUAGCGGUGAAAUGCGCAGAUAUCAGGAGGAACACCGAUUGCGAAGGCAGCUCGCUGGGACGUAACUGACGCUGAGACGCGAAAGCGUGGGGAGCAAACAGGAUUAGAUACCCUGGUAGUCCACGCUGUAAACGAUGGGCACUAGGUGUGGGGGGUGUCGACUCCCUCCGUGCCGAAGCUAACGCAUUAAGUGCCCCGCCUGGGGAGUACGGCCGCAAGGCUAAA
Molecule: ribosomal RNA, 373 nt
Filed under: uncultured bacterium
Lineage: Bacteria
Description: bacterial SSU rRNA
Rfam family: Bacterial small subunit ribosomal RNA
Source: RNAcentral